This 253-nucleotide ribosomal RNA is filed under the name uncultured bacterium. RNAcentral describes it as "partial 16S ribosomal RNA". It matches the Rfam family "Bacterial small subunit ribosomal RNA", at positions 524 to 776 of the family's 1533-position model. The record is from RNAcentral.
UACGGAGGGUGCGAGCGUUGUCCGGAAUCACUGGGCGUAAAGGGCGCGUAGGCGGCCUGAUAAGUAGGGGGUGAAAUCCUGCGGCUUAACCGCAGGGCUGCCUUCUAAACUGUCAGGCUAGAGCACAGUAGAGGCAGGUGGAAUUCCCGGUGUAGCGGUGGAAUGCGUAGAGAUCGGGAAGAACAUCAGUGGCGAAGGCGGCCUGCUGGGCUGCACCUGACGCUGAGCCGCGAAAGCCAGGGGAGCGAACGGG